RNAcentral lists this ribosomal RNA (307 nucleotides) under Diemenipatus mesibovi. RNAcentral describes it as "partial 12S ribosomal RNA". The record is from RNAcentral. Lineage: Eukaryota; Metazoa; Onychophora; Udeonychophora; Euonychophora; Peripatopsidae.
AUUAUUCUUUAAUAAUUCUAAAGUAGUGUAUAUAUAAACUUAAAAUUUUGACGGUAUUUAAUUUUCCAAAGGAAUAUGUAAUUUAAUCGAUUUUACCCGUUUAAUCUUACUUAUUUUAUUUUAGUAUAUCUCCGUUGUCAGAUUUUAUUUUAAAUAAUAAAAAUUUUCUUAAGAAAAUGUUUUAAUACAUCAGGUCAAGGUGCAAAAUAAAUAAGAUAUUAUGUAUUACAUUCAUUUAUAUUGUAUUGAAUUAAUAUUUGAAAAAUAUUUUGAAAUUGAAUUUGUAAGUAAAAUUAAAUAGAAAAUU